AUGACUCAGUCUCCAGCCUCCAUGUCUGCAUCUGUGGGAGAAAGUGUCACCAUCACAUGUCAAGCAAAUGAGAAUAUUUACAAUUGCUUACAUUGGUAUCCGCAGAAACAGGGAAAAUCUCCUAAGCUCCUGAUCUAUGCUGCAACCUAUUUGGCAGAUGGUGUGCCAUCAAGGUUCAGUGGCAGUGGAUCUGGCACACAGUAUUCUCUCAGUAUUAACAGCCUGCAGCCUGAAGGUGUUGCAACUUAUUACUGUCAAAAUGCUUUAAGUGAUUCAAGCCUUGACAUAAACCACCCAGGGAAGCAGAAGUGA
Molecule: non-coding RNA, 312 nt
Organism: Grammomys surdaster
Lineage: Eukaryota; Metazoa; Chordata; Mammalia; Rodentia; Muridae
Source: the annotation of a RefSeq genome assembly